GACGAACGCUGGCGGCGUGCUUAACACAUGCAAGUCGAACGCAGUGGCGAACGGGUGAGUAAUACGUGGGUAACCUGCCCUCCUUUUUGGGAUAAGGCUUGGAAACGGGGUCUAAUACCGAAUAAAGGGGGAUGGGUUCGCGGUCUAUCAGCUUGUGGGUGGGGUGAUGGCCUACUAAGGCAGUGACGGGUAGCCGGCCUGAGAGGGGGACGGGCCAAAUGGGGACUGAGAUACGGCCCAGACUCCUACGGGAGGAAGCAGGGGGGGAUAUUGGACAAUGGGCGAAAGCCUGAUGCAGCCAUGCCGCGGGUAUGAAGAAGGCUUUAGGUUUGUAAAGUACUUUCAUUCGGGAGGCGUUACCGACAGAGAAAGCACCGGCUAACUCCGUGCCAGCAGCCGCGGUAAUAC
This 408-nucleotide ribosomal RNA is filed under the name uncultured bacterium. RNAcentral describes it as "partial 16S ribosomal RNA". It matches the Rfam family "Bacterial small subunit ribosomal RNA", at positions 28 to 526 of the family's 1533-position model. The record is from RNAcentral.